GUUCUUAUAGCUUAACUGGAUAGAGCGCUGGCCUCCGACGCCAGUAGUGGCGGUUCGAGUCCGCCUAGGAACA
RNAcentral lists this transfer RNA (73 nucleotides) under Oribacterium sp. RNAcentral's name for it is "tRNA-Arg". It matches the Rfam family "tRNA". From Rfam's summary of the family: Transfer RNA (tRNA) molecules are approximately 80 nucleotides in length. Their secondary structure includes four short double-helical elements and three loops (D, anti-codon, and T loops). Further hydrogen bonds mediate the characteristic L-shaped molecular structure. tRNAs have two regions of fundamental functional importance: the anti-codon, which is responsible for specific mRNA codon recognition, and the 3' end, to which the tRNAs corresponding amino acid is attached (by aminoacyl-tRNA synthetases). tRNAs cope with the degeneracy of the genetic code in two manners: having more than one tRNA (with a specific anti-codon) for a particular amino acid; and 'wobble' base-pairing, i.e. permitting non-standard base-pairing at the 3rd anti-codon position. The record is from RNAcentral. Lineage: Bacteria; Bacillati; Bacillota; Clostridia; Lachnospirales; Lachnospiraceae. RNAcentral also lists the same sequence under 1 other name.